CCGGCGACCGGCGCACGGGUGAGUAACACGUAUGCAACCUGCCCUCUUCAGGGGGACAACCUUCCGAAAGGGAGGCUAAUCCCGCGUAUAUCGGUUUCGGGCAUCCGAGAUCGAGGAAAGAUUCAUCGGAAGAGGAUGGGCAUGCGGCGCAUUAGCUAGACGGCGGGGUAACGGCCCACCGUGGCGACGAUGCGUAGGGGUUCUGAGAGGAAGGUCCCCCCACACUGGUACUGAGACACGGACCAGACUCCUACGGAAGGCAGCAG
This 266-nucleotide ribosomal RNA is filed under the name uncultured bacterium. Its description in RNAcentral is "partial 16S ribosomal RNA". It matches the Rfam family "Bacterial small subunit ribosomal RNA", at positions 88 to 354 of the family's 1533-position model. The record is from RNAcentral.